ACUCCCUCAUUUGUGUAAUCCACCAUUGUUUGUCCAUCUAAUUUUGGAAACAAUCAACUUAACGAAAGAUCUCAUCUAACACUUUAACAAACAAAUUUUACAAAACCACUUUCUUACCGAAAGAUCUCAUCUAACACUUUAACAAACAAAUUUUACAAAACCACUUUUAUAUUUAUAAUAGGUUUAGCGUUAUUCAUAAAAUCCUGUAUGGUUUUAGAACUUUGAUUUAUUUACAAAAGAGCAAACUUCCGUUUUACUCCCUGAUGUUUCGGUUUUUUUUCCAGUUUGCUCCCCGCCUCUAACUCCAUCCAAAUUGUUUGUUUUUCCAUUUUGCUCCCUGCAGGGAGCAAACUGGCAACAAAACCAAAACAUCAGUGAGUAAAAUGGCUAUUUUUAAAGGUUUGAGGCAAAACCGUUAAAGUGACCAAACCACAGGAAGCAAAACGGAAGUUUACUCUUUACAAAAUAUAUAUUCAUGAUUUUAAGUGAACCAUUUAAUUUUCAUGUGGUCAAUGGUUCCAAUUAUAUAUUAUGUAGUAUUCCUUAAGUCAUGUUCAUUCUAAACGUGUUUUUAAUUUGAUGUUUUGCUUAUUAUUUAAUCUCCAUCUUGGUUCACAACAAACCUUUUACUUUCUUUCGAAGUCUUAGAUUAAAAAAAAGGUACAAGUUUUAAACUUUCACCAAAUUUGCAUUUUUAGAAAUAAAUGUACUCUAAAAUCCAUUUUUACCAGAAAAUUUUGCCCUCAUAUAUAGAAAUAAAAUAACUUUAUUAUAUAAACUGUCACACCAUUAAAAUAAUAAAAACAAAAAGGUGGGGUAUCAAUUUACCUCUCACCAUUUUUCCACUAAAGCAUAUUACAUAGAUGAAUUUUGAAUUUCUAGCCUUAGGUAAC
RNAcentral lists this long non-coding RNA (893 nucleotides) under Helianthus annuus (common sunflower). Its description in RNAcentral is "hypothetical non coding rna". Lineage: Eukaryota; Viridiplantae; Streptophyta; Magnoliopsida; Asterales; Asteraceae. The record is from RNAcentral.